Long non-coding RNA from Oryzias melastigma (Indian medaka), 414 nucleotides. RefSeq lists it as uncharacterized. Lineage: Eukaryota; Metazoa; Chordata; Actinopteri; Beloniformes; Adrianichthyidae. The record is from RefSeq and is a predicted model, not a curated record. The transcript has 2 exons.
GGCAGUAGUUUAUUAGUGUCAUGGCCAUGCCUCAGCCUCACAGGUAAUCUGCCUUAUUGAAAUCACCUGUGUGGCUGCCUUUAUAGCAGGAGCUGCCCUGCUGAGCUGUGCCAGAAGAUCUCCUGCCUUCAUGGGACUCCAGCCUGCCAAAGCUGCUGUCUUCUGCGCCCUGUUUUGCCUUCAUGAACUUUGUCAGGACAGACUUGGAUUUAUUUCCUGGAUCUGGUGCUGUUGCCCUGUGGUCUCUCUCUCUCUCUCCCCUCCUCCCUUCCUGGUUGCCCUCAAGCACACAAGUGGAAUUCUGUGCUUCACCUUCUCCACAACAGAUGUGCCUGACCCCUUCCCCCUCCCGGUGGACCUAGGAGCCCUGGCCUACUGCACUUCUUUAUUGAAUAAAAGAAUAUUUGCCAGUUC